This 473-nucleotide ribosomal RNA is filed under the name uncultured soil bacterium. Its description in RNAcentral is "bacterial SSU rRNA". It matches the Rfam family "Bacterial small subunit ribosomal RNA", at positions 26 to 494 of the family's 1533-position model. The record is from RNAcentral.
AGAUUGAACGCUAGCGGGAUGCUUUACACAUGCAAGUCGAACGGCAGCGCGGACUUCGGUCUGGCGGCGAGUGGCGAACGGGUGAGUAAUAUAUCGGAACGUGCCCAGUAGCGGGGGAUAACUACGCGAAAGCGUGGCUAAUACCGCAUACGCCCGUACGGGGGAAAGGGGGGGAUUCUUUCGAGAACCUCUCACUAUUGGAGCGGCCGAUAUCAGAUUAGCUAGUUGGUGAGGUAAAGGCUCACCAAGGCGACGAUCUGUAGCUGGUUUGAGAGGACGACCAGCCACACUGGGACUGAGACACGGCCCAGACUCCUACGGGAGCAGCAGUGGGGAAUUUUGGACAAGUAGGGGAAACCCUGAUCCAGCCAUCCCGCGUGUGCGAUGAAGGCCUGGGUUGUAAGUACACUUUGGUCGAGGGAAGAAACGGACGCCGACCGUAACGUAACGGCGGUACGACUCGACGGUACCGU